Molecule: ribosomal RNA, 552 nt
Filed under: Colletotrichum gloeosporioides
Lineage: Eukaryota; Fungi; Ascomycota; Sordariomycetes; Glomerellales; Glomerellaceae
Description: eukaryotic LSU rRNA
Rfam family: 5.8S ribosomal RNA (bases 179-332)
Source: RNAcentral
CUAUAACCCUUUGUGAACAUACCUACAACUGUUGCUUCGGCGGGUAGGCCGUCCCCUGAAAAGGACGCCUCCCGGCCCGGACCGGACCCCCCGUGGGGCCGGACUCGGCGCCCGCCGGAGGAUAACCAAACGCUAUUUUAACGACGUUUCUUCUGAGUGGCAUAAGCAAAAUAAUCAAAACUUUUAACAACGGAUCUCUUGGUUCUGGCAUCGAUGAAGAACGCAGCGAAAUGCGAUAAGUAAUGUGAAUUGCAGAAUUCAGUGAAUCAUCGAAUCUUUGAACGCACAUUGCGCCCGCCAGCAUUCUGGCGGGCAUGCCUGUUCGAGCGUCAUUUCAACCCUCAAGCUCUGCUUGGUGUUGGGGCUCUACGGUCGACGUAGGCCCUCAAAGGUAGUGGCGGACCCUCCCGGAGCCUCCUUUGCGUAGUAACAUUUCGUCUCGCACUGGGAUCCGGAGGGACUCUUGCCGUAAAACCCCCCAAUCUUUCAAGGUUGACCUCGGAUCAGGUAGGAAUACCCGCUGAACUUAAGCAUAUCAAUAAGGCGGAGGAA